UCUGAAAAAGUAUUGUGUCCCUGUGUAAGUGUUGACUCAACUUGCACAUGUGAUUUUUUAACACUCCCCGGACUUCUGCAAAAAACAAUUAUUCAGUUCACUGAUUAAGAUGGAAGGGCAAGAACAUGAAAGAUAAAGGAGAAACUAUAAACAGAAGAAAUUAUCAACAAAAUAAGAUUUACAGAGGUCAACAAAGCCUAAAUGGUCAGACAUCUCAAUUUUCAUGGUCAUCAUUCACAGAUCAAUACUGAAUGGAAAACUUAAAUCUGAUAUUUUUCUCCAUGGUGCGACUUUUUUAUUAAUUUGAAAUGGAACAUGUUUUUUCCUACAUUUAUUUGAAAGAGGAAAUUUCAACAUGAUGACUAUAAACAAAAAGGAGUCAUAUCAUCACGAUCAUUGAUGCACAAGAACUUGUUCAUAUAAAUACAACAAUGUAAUUAUCAAUUGAAAGAUGGAACGAAUGAACAAGAUAUUAGAAUGUUGUUGUCCAAAUAAACUUGCUUUGUCUUCUCAUUUGAAUCUCUCCAUUCAAUAAAGAUGUACAGAGGAAGAUCUUUGAAGAACAGAUUGAAAAAAUAUUUUGUCUAAGAAUUGCAGGAAUAUUCUAGUGAAUGAAAUUAUUUAUUGACUUCACUCUUAUAUAGUGGACUGAAUAAUUGUACAUAGCAAGCUGUGAAUAAAGAAAGCAAAAACUUUAACAAAAAGUGUUUAUAUUAUAAAUUUGCAAAUAUAAGCAUACUAUUAUGUACACCACAAAGGUAUAUAUAAUUCAAAUUGUUUGCCUAUACAAGUAUUGCAAUGAACCUAUAACAAAGAAAAUCUUACCUCAUGAAAAGAGUGAACUAUUCAGUCAGAAUAUGAAAUAUUUUUUCAGUUCUAUUUUUCAUAAUAGAAUAAACAAGACAAAGAUUUCAAAACAAUAUUUUUUCAUUUAUUUAGAAAUUUCAUCAUUUUGUUUCAGUGAAAGAACUUUAUUCUUUGACUGUAAA
Mytilus trossulus (common blue mussel) is the source of this 989-nucleotide long non-coding RNA. RefSeq lists it as uncharacterized. Lineage: Eukaryota; Metazoa; Mollusca; Bivalvia; Mytilida; Mytilidae. The record is from RefSeq and is a predicted model, not a curated record. The transcript is spliced from 3 exons.